UACGUAGGUGGCGAGCGUUAUCCGGAUUUAUUGGGCGUAAAGCGUGCGCAGGCGGUUUGUUAAGUCUAAAAUGAAAGCCCGAAGCUCAACUUCGGUUUGUUUUAGAAACUGACUUACUCGAGUAUGGUAGAGGCAAGUGGAAUUUCUAGUGUAGCGGUAGAAUGCGUAGAUAUUAGAAGGAACACCAGUGGCGAAAGCGACUUGCUAGGCCAUCACUGACGCUCAUGCACGAAAGCGUGGGGAGCAAAUAGGAUUAGAUACCCUAGUAGUCCACGCUGUAAACGAUGAUCACUAAGUGUCGGGUUACCGGUGCUGAAGUUAACACAUUAAGUGAUCCGCCUGAGUAGUACGGUCGCAAGGCUGAAACUCAAAGGAAUUGGCGGGCACCCGCACAAGCGGUGGAGCAUGCUGUUUAAUUCGAAAGUACGCGAAGAACCUUACCAAGAUUUGACAUCCCCGGCGAGGCUAUAGAAAUACAGCUGAGGUUAUCCGGGAGACAGGUGGUGCAUGGUUGUCGUCAGCUCGUGUCGUGAGAUGUUUGGUUAAGUCCAACAACGAGCGCAACCCUCUUCUUUAGUUGCUAACAUUUAGUUGAGAACCCUAAAGAUACUGCCGGUGUAAACCGGAGGAAGGUGAGGAUGACGUCAAAUCAUCAUGCCCCUUACAUCUUGGGCUACAGGCGUGCUACAAUGGCCAGUACAACGAGUCGCGACAUGGUAACAUGAAGCAAAUCUCUUAAAGCUGGUCCCAGUACGGAUUGAGGUCUGCAACUCGACCUCAUGAAGUUGGAAUCGCUAGUAAUCCCGAAUCAGAAUGUCGGGGUGAAUACGUUCCCGGGUGU
Molecule: ribosomal RNA, 841 nt
Filed under: uncultured bacterium
Lineage: Bacteria
Description: SSU rRNA
Rfam family: Bacterial small subunit ribosomal RNA
Source: RNAcentral